Long non-coding RNA from Gallus gallus (chicken), 8837 nucleotides. Lineage: Eukaryota; Metazoa; Chordata; Aves; Galliformes; Phasianidae. The record is from Ensembl.
CCCCGGGCCGCGCACCUCCGCCGUCCGGGAGCGGCCCCCCCCCGACGGGUCCGUCUUGAACUUGACUCGGGGACGCCGCGAGCUGCCGGGGCUGUCCCGUCUCCUCUCGCAUGAUGCUCGGGCGAGCGGCCCACGGGAUACUGAAUACUUUAAAAAUUAACCUUCAGCGAAUUUCUGAUCUCUCCACAUCCUCCCCCCUCCCCGAAAAAAAAAAAAAAAAAGAAAAAAAAGUUAAAAAAAAAAAAAAGUCUUUUUAUCUGGCAGGAAAAGAAAGGAGAAAGAUAGACAGCAGUGUCCGGUGCUGCACGUCUGAAAAACAAAACAAACAAACAAACAAAAAUCCCAAGCCCGGUAAAGGCAGCUUUUCCACCUACACUCAUUGCUGAUUUUUUUCCCCUUAAAACAGUUGCAGGGUUCCCCCCGAGGUGCCCGGCCAGCCGUGCUCCCGCUGCUCGAUGCCGUGUGAGCCCUCGUUGUGCGUGGAGCCCCGGAGCCGCGCCGGGCCAGGAGGAGCAGAGCCGCCUGGGGCCGUCGGGUUUCCCUCGGACGCCCACCUGUGUCGUGUCUGCUUCAGCCUCAGAAAGGUGCCGGUAGGCUCGGAUUUGUUACUGCUUUGGUUGGAAGCGGGGAGGCGUGGGGUGUUCAGGGCUCCGUGGAGGUCCCCCGGGCUGAGGGCUCUGCCCUGGGCAGCUGGAGUAGUUUGGGAUGUGAGCUUCGAUGGCACCACGGCCCUUUAUGGUUGUGCUGGUUCCUGCCGUGCCGACCCUGAUAAGUUGUGUCCGUGGGUUUGCAGCACGGCUCCAGCCGUGUUCCUAGCAAGGGCUUAAAUCCGGCGUCCUGUGUCAUUUGCCUCCUCUGGGUCACUCGCAGCCUUGGGGUUUCCCCAUCCAGCCUUCAGAUGGGGAAUUGGGAGCAGACCGCUGUCUGCACCCCGCUGAGGUCAGGGCCUCCCUGCUGAGGCUGCUGCUCUACAGCACCCCCAAAAAAGGGGGCAGGGGCAGCUGGGUUGUUCGUGUGUCUUUUGGAAUGGAGGUGAUGUUUGGGAUGGGUGUACACGGGGCUGGCAGCCUGUUUUGGGGCUAUGAGAUGCUUUCAGAGCGAGAUGCUUGGGGUUAGCAGUGAGGGGAGGGGGCAGCAGGGCUGUGUCCCUAUGAACAUCAUGCUGUGCUGCUGCUGAGUGCUUGUGGAUAAAUAAGGAUCUUUUUCUUUCUGUAAAAGAAGCUAAAAGGCUCCAUUCCUCACUUUGGCCCAUAUUAGAGAGACUCGGACAGUCCUGGAGCACGGGAUACUCUUGCUUUAUUCCUGCAUUCCUUAGGCUGGUUGUGGGGUGAGCUCCUGAACGCAGUGCCAGGGCCUGGCAGUGGGGCAUCCUCUGUGCUCACAGUUUGGGGUUUCUCCCUGCAAACAGGGCAGGGUGGUGCUGGUGAAACAGGUGCCCCGUUAGCACAGCUCUCGGUGCGUCGUUAAGAAUGGAUCUGGCGUUGCACCCUGAAGGGUCCCAGGACUGCGCACAAAAAGGGGCCGUGUUCUGCUGUCCUCUCUCAGGCUGGCAGCCCUCUUGAAGUUGCUCCAUGAGCGGGAUUAGGUGGAUUUGUCCCCAAAUAAACAGAACUCAGGAUGGUUUUCUAGAAGGGCUAACAUGGUGAUUCAUUGUGCUAUAAAGAACCCAAGCAGAGGCAGGCAAUGAGCUGGAGCCAUUCCUUUUCUACCACGCUUUAUGAGCCAUGAAUAUUUUGAUUCCUUUGGUGUCAUUGUUUGCGCGUAUCUGUAUCUGUGUCUGGUGUAACCCAAUGAAAAUAAUAUAUAUUUUUUCAAGCUCUGUGCGUGCUGUUGGCUGCACGCAGUGGGAAGGCAGUCCCAAAGGCGUUUGAUCAGGUUGUGCACAAGUGUCUCAGAGCUACAGCACCAGGAAUUAAGUUCCUUUAGUAACUCUGCUGGCUGCAAAGCCCUCAUUCCCAAAGCGGUGGUGGGCUGCAGCAUUGUGUUUGCAUCUCUUCUUUUGUUUUUUUUCCAUACAGUGUUCCCAGAUUAAACAUAUUACACACUAACUAACUGCAGCUUUUUCAGCCGAGCCUAACUUUUGGAUAAGCCAUCCCCUCUAUUGAUGCUUUCGGCACGACCAAACUAUAUGGAAAGCACCUCUGCAGAGACGCGCGCUUGUUUUGGACAGGCAAAACUCUAGAGGAAGCUUUAAAUUCUUUGCAGAAAUCUAAUUGUAUCGGGCAGAAGGAAAGAAUUUGCGUCGUGUUGACUUAUCUGUGCCUUCAUCCCUGGAGCUGAGCCAUUUGGUUCACCUCGCCGUGCCGUUUGCAUGCUUUAAAAACACGCUGUGUGCCCCGCGAGUGCUGCUCAGCACAGUGCUCGGAGGGCUGUAACAGUGCACAGAGGGAGCGAGGGCCGUCCUGCUGAAGGCUGUAUCAGAGGCUUGCAGGGAUGGAAGGCAGCAGCGUAGCUUUGUGUUACGAUGUGAGUUUUUACUCUUGGUUAACCAGGCUUGAAGGGUAUGGUGCAGCAUGGAGCCAGGCCUGCUUCCCCUCACCAUCCCAGCUUUUGGUGGCUUCGGGGGCAGAAAUGAGUGCUGGGCCUUAUCCGUGGGCCGUGGCCUUGUGCUGAGAGGUCACAGCGGGGUGGGAGACGUCAGCUUUGGGUUUCUGCUUGCUGCACAGAGAGCACUGAUGUGGGGAAGGCUGGCGGCAGGCAGGGCGUCCCGACAGGCAGUGAGCACAGCCCUGAAAUAGGCUGCCCUGCAAGAAAUACACUGCCCUGCAAGAAAUACGCUGCCCACCACCUCCUCUCUGAAUCCCUCCCCAGUUUCACUGAGACAAUAAUAUAUUGCAAAAAUACUCUUUCAUUAUUAUUAUUAUUAUUAUUAUUUAAAUGACCGUUUUUUGCUGCUUUCUGUACUUUGCACGACACAGUUCUCACCCUGUUUUGAUCAGCAAGGUGUUUUUGUUCCCUUUUCCCCUGUUUUUCUCCUUAUUUUCAUCUGUCGAGUGCUUGUUUUUGCCCGCGUUAGCAGGACGCAGUUGAAUUGAAGGUUUCAUGUGUUGGGGCCGCGGAGAGAAAUUUGGCCAUAACUUGAGGGAAAGUCUGAUGUGGGGCUGAGGGACGGUCUCGAAUUCAGGGCUAAAUCUCUGUGCAGCGGAUGGUGUGCGCAGAGUUCUCAGCCCCACGCUGAGCCACGCGGGCAGAGCUCUGCUGCUCACUGGUGCAGAUGGUCCCCAGACUCAGCAAUUCCCACAAUAUUCCUAUUGACUAAAAAAGAAGAUGCCGCAGCUGUCAGCCACCCACCUUUAAGGACCGCUCUGAAACAGCAUUGCUUCGUUUGGCAAAGUGCAGCAAGAAGAAGAAAGGGGAUUUUUUUUCCCCCCCUUUUCCCCUGUUUUUUUCUUUCCCUUCAGUGUUGUGAGCCUCACUUGCCAGAUUUCAUUUCGCCUUUUGUUGUGAAGCUGUUUAGACCAAAGAAGCAUAACGUACCUGUGCUUCGGAGCGGGGUCUGAGCUUCCAUUUAAUUGCCUGAAUCUGGAAGUUGAAUUGUAUUUAAAAAGAAAUGAGGCUAUUAAUAAUAAUCUAAGAACUGGCAGCGCUGUGGCGGUAAAAUAUAGAUUUAAUUUUUAAUCUUGGGCCUGCAGAAGUGUUUUAAAAUAAUGCAGUAAGUGGGGAUGAUUUACUUUAAUGUCUUUGCAAGCACUCCGUUUGUAUUUAAAAUGAGAUUCCGGCGUGACGUUGCAAUCUGCCCUUCUUUCUGUUUCCUUUUCGCUCUGUGCUGGUGCGGGAGGAGCAGGCGGGCAAAGGAGCAAAGGAGCAGGAACUGUGCCUUGAAGAUUCUCCCUGCGCCUUCAGGAGGAUGCUGGGCUGAGCCAAAAUCAAAGCGCUCUGCUGUGCUCGCGCUGUGCUGCUGAGGAGUUGGUUUCAGAGGAGUUCCCUCAGCCGGUCAGAGAUCUCAGCACCCAAGCUCUUAGCAAGCUGCUGCCUUCAACAACAUCCCCAUAAGGAGCAAACUGAAACAGCACAAGGAGUAGAUGUCAGCCUCAGACUGACAACUGCGCUUCUGGCAUCUGUUGCAGCCGGGAUGCAUUCCUUGAUCGUUUCUGAGUCUGCCAUUAUUUUUCUGCCUGCCCAGUGUCCCAGGGACGUGAAACGAAGCCGCUGCGCUUUGCUGCCGAGCACUGAAACUCUGCACCAACAUUCAAUUUGAUCUCUCGGAACUGACUGCAAUAAAGUGGUUUCGUCAGCACACACUUGUGAUAAAAAGGCGACACGAAGAAAGCCAGCGAGCUGAAAGGCCCUGCGUUUUCCUGGGAAGACAAUAGGAUAUCUGGCUCUUUAUUUGUUUCGUGGAUUCCUUGUGCAGCCAUUUAAAUUCAGCCGAAGGCUCCAAAUGUCUAAACUUUAUCCUGGGCAUUUUAUUUAUUUUUUUUUCAGUGCUGGAAAGGAAUAGAGUUAAGUGUCCCAAGGGGAGUUUUAUAGAAAAUGCUAUGUGCAAUGUUAAUGAGUUGGGAAGGGGUCGUAUGUUUUUUCAUAUAGAGCCUAUGCAGGAACAAAUAUGGAACCGGAGGAGAAACCAUCUGCAGGGACCCAGUGAGGUGUGCCAGCGGGUGAUCCUGGGCUGCUGUCACCCCUAAAUGAUGAACAAAAGACUUCAAUCCCAAGAGCCCCCCGUGCCCCUGCAUGGCUCUGUGCUGGGCUGGGUGAAUAGCCGGGGCUGGAAGAAAUGACAAACUUCUUGGGUGCCACAAGAGAUUGCUUCAGCGUUACUGAUCCUCACUCUGCUCGUUACUGAAAAUGCAUCCAGCAGCUAUAUGGGUCAGACUGCUAAAUUUGUAGACACGGAGUGUCAGGAAGCCUUUUUGUCAACUUCGUACCGUUUAGUAUAUUUGUCCUCAAGUUCAAAGCAAUCCUGGCCCCAGACUUGUGAUAUUUUCUGCCCUUUCCCCUUUCUGUUGACUCAGGCCUCUUCCCUUUGAGGUCAACAUCAAAAUAAAGAUGUAUGUUUCCUCAGCCUGACCAUGGCUCUGAGUCUUUAGAUCAGCAAUCCUAUAGUCCAUAUGUCUUCCCAUCUGUCAGCCAGCAUUUGAAGCCAGCUUGCUCCUCUAUUCUUUCAGACAAGUGUGAGAAUCAGAAGUUUCUUUAAUGACGGUUUCAGGCCUUAAAGCAUUUGCUAAGAUAUUACCUAUUAAGAUCCCUUGAUGGCACCUUGAAUAGAGAUCAAAAGCAGCUGAGUUCACUCCGUAAAUCUCAUCUGGCCUUCAGUUUAGGGUGCUGGGAGAGGGGUGGGGAGGGCACCGUGUUCCCGUGCUGAGAAGCCCAGCCUGGGAAGUCAGCAUUGCAUUUGUGAAACAGUGACCCAGAGCGUGGCUCUCAGUCUGUCUCUCAAACGUUUCUAUUUUUAAUGCCUGCCAAGAGCUACUGCAAAGCCCUCGGGGUAUUUGGGGAAGUGUGUGCUCUUUGGGUUCAUAUCAUUUCAUUGGGUUACAGUGGAUUUAGCGGGGAGGCAUUCAUUGAAGUUUCUGUAUGUUGAAAGGUGUGCACGCUGUCAUGGGCAGAAUGGUGGAGGGCAUUCCCAGAGAACCUCCCAGACGGUGCUAACAAACAGGCUGGCUGUUUAUGGGACCCAAAUGUCUGUGGGGAUCUGAACAUCCCCAAGACGUGGCUGAGCAACGGGGGAUGAUGUCACAGCACUGCCUGUCCAGUAAAAUGUGACACACUGGAGUCAAGCACAACAUAUGGCCCUGGGUUUGUGUUGAAACCUGUUAAAGCGUGAGCAUGAACCCGAGCUCCAGAGAGAUCCUCUUUGGCCUCAGUGUCAUUAGUCUUCAGCCAGAAUAUAGCUUGUGCUCCCUGAGAAAAGCAGCUUCUCUGGCUGCCUGCUCUGUAGUGUCGCUGCUUUUGGAGGAGGUGCUCAAUCAAAAUGUGGGGCACGCAGAUUGUUUGCUUCCAAGAGGGGAAACAGAAGGGACCUCGAUGUAAUUUUACAUCUUAACCAAGAGGAUGCACCAGCUCCUGGACACCGCACCGAGCAAAAUGUCCAGCUACUUUUUGUUCCCAAAGCCUCUUUCAGCCAGCCCCUGCCCCAGAGUACUCUAUUUGACAUUGUCACUGGGUUUAUUUAAGAUGGAUUUGGCUUUUUUUUUUUGCUAUUUUUCUGUGCUUAUAAUCCUUUUAAUUCCACCAUUUUUCUUUUACGACCUUCGUUCAGUCUUUUCUGUCCCUCUUUUACGUGGUACUCAGCCAAGUCUGUCUCAUUGCUGUCAUUUUUAGUGUGAAUCCGUAUCUGCCUUUUUAGGGGGUAGUGGCACUGGUGACGUAUACUUGUGGUUAAAGCAAAAGCCACUAUUGAGUUGGACAAAAUAGGAUGAAUGCUGUAUAAAAAGCCUUCGGAGAGCUGUGAAAUCUCCAUCCUCUCUUCCUUGUUCUCCUGGGAACACUUGCACAAAGAGUAUUUUUAAUGUGAAGCAAAAAGGAUCCUGAUGAAUACUCAUUAACAUUUUGUUUCUGCGGAGAUACAUACAUGAUCAUCACAAGGCUGUGAGGGACAUGUAUUCGGGAAAGCUCUUAGAUGUACAAUUAUUGCUGUGUGCGUGUUUAAAUCUUCCCAAUGGCUGCUGCUUUGCUGAACAGACAUAUUAACCAAAAACAAAAACAGGUAUUUAAUGGAGCUUGUUUGUCCUGCCUUGGCCAGAGGCAGUAUGCUGCGAUAAAGGUCUUCAAACUCAACCCAUAGCGGUGCUCUGUGAGCAGUGGAUCCUCCCAGAAUGGAAUGGGUUGGUUGAAAUACACGCCUGCAAAUAAUUUGUAUCGUAGUUGUUAACAACAACGAGAGCAGAAUUUAACCAGAGAUUGCAAGGGGAAGCAACAUCAGAGCCACCAGAUACAUUCCAUAACAUGUUUUCCUCAUGUGGCUUUGGACUCAGCCCAGAUAGACACCAUUGGGUGAAGGUAUCGCUUCACCAUUGCCACUUUGGAAGCACCAGUCUCAGAAAUGCAGAUCUGAUACGGACUGAAGCCUUUAUGCUACUGGCUGUAUCCCACCUAUUCUGAGCCGGUUAGAAAAAGAGCCUUGGUCAGAAAGAGUUAAUUUAGCAUUGAGUCUCAACUAAAAACCUUCUCUGAGAGGCAUGUGCCUGACUGUGCCCCUUCCUGCAGAUAUACCACUGAUAACCUUCUUCUGUUGCUCUGAAUGCCCUGGAGUGCUGGGCUGGCUUCGCUGUGUGUGCAGGUCGUGCCCAGCAGUGUGAGAGGUCCCUAGGUUAGAUCAGGAGUGGGGAGCUCCCAUUUGCACAAAAGGGAAACACUCCUGGUGGGACCAGCUGUGCAGCAGAGGUAACCAGACGUGACAGUGGAGUUUCCAGGCUUUGCUGGAGUUCUCAUACCUUAUCACAAGGCAAACUGGGCACUGAUUUUUCAUGAGGUCCCUUCUCUUCCAGUGACCGUAAUCCAAUCUGUGUUGUAAUCUGUGCUGUUCUUUCCGUAUGAAAUCUUGCAGGCUUUUUUUUUUUUUUUUUUUUUUUUUUUAGCAGCUUUUUGGAUGGAAUAAUGAAGCCGAACAGAAACAAGAAGAAGAAUGUAUGGUUUCGCUGUCCCUUUUGGGACCGCCCAGAAAUAUCCAGCAGAUGAACGUGUUUUGUGUGUCUGAGUGUCAUUUUGAUUCUCUUGAAGCACGCUGAAGCCAUGACACGAUGUCACCAGGGACUGGAGUUUCUGUCACCAUGUGAUGGCUGGUUGGCUGAGAAGAUCAUUCAUUUAAUAUCUCUAAAUACUUCUGGAGCCUCAGGGUACAAUGCAAAGUGGACGCGAAAGUCCAGGUGUAUCUGCUGGGGAGGGAAAGCUCUGAGUUCUGGUGCUUAACUGCAGAGUUUUUUUACACACCAGGAAAGAUGAAAAGCAGGGACCCGACUCAAGGACAUCCAUGAUGACAGUGUCUGGGUGCUACAACCAAACCUGCUCAUCGGGAUGGUGAUUUGGCACUGGUUCUGCACUCCAGGGUGGGAGGGCAGCAGAGUCAGGUUUCUGCUACCUGGACCUAACUACUAAUUCAAGCAGACUUUUUGUCCCUGGAGGGCAGGGUGAGUGGCUUCACAAUAUGACAGCUACUUAGGAGUUGUCACUGAAAAUCAGUCACCCAAGAAGACCGUUGACUUCCUUGGACAAAUGGGCCCAAAGCAUCCUGGUUGAAUUUCAGGAGGGAAUUACACCACUGGUUUACAUCACCAUUUAUUUUGGCCAUGCUGCAACAAGUUACUCAGUAUGUGUAUGUAAUUGGGGUUGUCUUUUUCUAGCUGAUGGAAAGAUAGCUGUGUAAUUAAUGGACUAGGUCAUUUGUUCUAACAAUAGCCCAUGUUAUGACAGUGAUUGUUAAACAGAAUUCUCCCUCAGCAGAAAAUAAAUAAAUAAAUAGAUUCGCAUUGAUUAGCAUAAUAGAGCUCGGGACUUCUAAACUGCGUUUGACCUUUGGUGGUGGCUAGAGAUGGUAGCACCUGUUACGAGGGAAGCAAAUGAAGAUGAUACAUCACUUCUAUUUUUAUGACGGUCACCACGCAUUGUAAAUAUUCUGCUUCUUGGCUCAGUGCGUCCUUGAAGUACACAGUGCUGGUCUGAAAAACACUGGGAUCUGAAUGGUUAAAAACAUACCCAUCACUUGACAUAGGUACCAUUCUUCGGCACGUAAGUAAUGUGAAUGUGACACUGCUCAAAUAUGUAGAGCUUCAUUUACCCCCAUCUUAUUAUUUGCAGAAAGCUGUGCACUCUGAUGAUGUCCUGAGGAAUACAAACUGGAUAUUAUUCAUAUCUCCGCUGCUUAUAUUUGCUGUCAAUAAACAGACUCAGUUAAAUGGAAA